UUAGUUUUCGUUCAUUGAGUUAGUAGAUUGACCAUGGAUAACUAUUUCAGUAAUUUAAUUUAAAAUGUGGGAAUAAUUUUUUAACUCUGUAGAAUGAAAAAUGCAAUUUAGAUUCUUAUCCGCUCUUUCAAAAUGGCGGGUCAGAAUAUAUAAAUAUAUCAGUAUUAAGAAAAGAAAUAGUAAUGUUUUAAAAUUAGUAAAUUUUAAAAUUUUAAGUUAUUUAUUUUUCAUUUCACCUAAAUAUUGAUAUAUGUUAUAUCUAAUUAUUUAUUUAUUCUAUUAAUAAUAACUAAUUGGUCAAAUAAACAGUUACACAACAUUUUUCAAAAGAAUCUGAACUGACAUGUGGCAGUUUGUUGUUUGUUACUGGUUACAGUUUUGAUUUUAUAAAAAUUAUAUUUUUUAAAAAUAUAAAACAAAAAUAUAUCCGUCUUUUUAAGGAGGCAUCAUAAGUGGGUUGGUGGAUUUUGGAUCGCAGCUACCCAUUGACCCGCAAAGUAUUUAAAAGGUAAAAAUUAAAAAGUAAAAAUUAAAAAGUAAAUAUUUUUAAAAAUACAAGAAUUUAAAAAUAAUAAUUUAAAAUUUAAAUAAUGUAUAAAUUUUCUAUUAUAAAUAUAUUUUUAUAAUAAAUAAAUUAAAUAUUGAUUUUUAAAAUAUAUAUAACCAAUAGAUAACCACAAAAUUAAGUGGAGUGGGUGCAUGUACCAAAUUAUUUGUUUGCGAGUUGUGCCGGUCAUAUUUUUCUAACCAAAACAAAAUUGAAAAUCCGCGGGUUGGCGGGUCUGCGGGCGAGUUCGACCCGCAACCCAUCCUUAACCGUACGUAUACCGGAUCAAUUUUUAAAUUGCUAUUACUUAAUAAAAUAUAUUUUGAUUAAAAUUUAUACACGAAUAUGAUUAAAAAAAUACAAAUAUAAUCAGAAAAUACAAAUAUACACGACAAUAGCUGGAAAAGACAAGUUUUUUUAAUAGUUUACUUAAUUAAAUUUUCAGUGGCAUUAGGUUGUAAAUAUUGUGCAAUUCUUAGGGUUAGUUUAUAUUUGUACUUCUGUUUUAAUAAAGUAGAUAAAUGUGGUUAUUAAUUUGGAUUAUUUAAUGUAUUAUUGUUGAUUAAUAACAUAUAUUUUCCGUAACAAAAUGUGCAUAUAGUUUCAAAAAAAAAGUGCUGUAAUUAUUAUACAUAUUUAAAUCGACAUAUAUCAAUAGUUUAUUUGUACAUUUUCAUAAAUUUUGCAGUUAUGGAUCCUAGAAUAUAGGAAUUAAAGGAAAACAAUUAUAAAAUAUUUGGUUUUUUUUUAAUAAGCCCCGACCAUUAUGGAACUAAAAGGUGGUUACAAAAUAUUUAUUUAGAUUCAGUUAUAGAAUAUAUGAUUUUUUUAUUGUGGAAAAAAUAAUUGUUGGACAUAACCCCAUAAGAAUUAAUAGUAUUGAUUAUUGAUUAGAGCCCAUUAUAGGUUCUUACCAAUGGACUUGCUCUUAUGAAUGUUUUUAGAAAGGUCGUCAAUUUCUUCUUUGACUUUUGUUUAGUACGCACAACUCUCAUAAUUCCUUUGUACAAGAGGGUGAUAUUCUGGUCGCUGCUAUGAGGACAGGGCCGGCCCUGGGCUAAAGCCCAUAAAGCAAGGGCUUUAGGCGCCAGGUUUUAUAUAUGUUACAAGGGCGCCAAAUUGUUUAUAUCUCUCUGUGGCCUAGUGGUUUGUUCUCUUCUCCUCUUGUCCUUCAGGUUCACAGGGCAAUUAGUGUUUCAAGCUGUUGGAAAAACUGCAGUAGUCUCACCAACUUGAAGUAUUUGGGCUGUUUGGAAGAUUACACCGCUAGGAAAAUCGUGAGUUACCUCAAGAAUCUCAAGAGGUUGAGUUUGCGAUGCUCUUUCGUCAAAACUACAGUACAGGAUUAUUAUUGCUAAUCACAGGCCUCCAAAACCUCAUGACCCUUAAUCUGUCACAUUGCAAAGACUUGGGUCGGUACGGUGUCCCAUUUCCUAUUGACAAUCAUGUACAAGCCGCCGCUCAGAAGCUUGAAAAGUUCAUCACAUGUACUCUAAGGUUACAGCUUCUGCAAAGAGCAAUAUAGCUUCUCCUGGUCUAAGCAUUGGCGAGAUGAUGAGAUAGAUGAAAUUGGCGAGAUGAUGAGAUAGAUGAAAUUGAAUUCUAAAAUUUUCUAAGCUUUGUUGAUGUUUGGCUGGUGAUGAAUGUGUAUCUUUACUGGUUCACCGAUAUUUAAUUCGCUCCAAAAUCAACAAUGAUUAUGUUUCAUUUCAUGUUUGUCUUUUUAUA
This is a long non-coding RNA of Raphanus sativus (radish), 2275 nucleotides long. RefSeq lists it as uncharacterized. The record is from RefSeq and is a predicted model, not a curated record. NCBI's taxonomy places the organism in Eukaryota, Viridiplantae, Streptophyta, Magnoliopsida, Brassicales, Brassicaceae. The transcript is spliced from 3 exons.